RNAcentral lists this ribosomal RNA (107 nucleotides) under uncultured bacterium. Its description in RNAcentral is "partial 16S ribosomal RNA". It matches the Rfam family "Bacterial small subunit ribosomal RNA", at positions 1379 to 1482 of the family's 1533-position model. The record is from RNAcentral.
CCUUGUACACACCGCCCGUCACACCACGAAAGCCGUCAGCACCCGAAAUUAUCUAAGCUAACCUGUAAGGGAGGCGGGUAAUGAAGGUGAAGAGGGUGAUUGGGGUG